GAUGAACGCUGGCGGCGUGCCUAAUACAUGCAAGUCGAGCGAACAGACAAGGAGCUUGCUCCUUUGACGUUAGCGGCGGACGGGUGAGUAACACGUGGAUAACCUACCUAUAAGACUGGGAUAACUUCGGGAAACCGGAGCUAAUACCGGAUAAUAUAUCGAACCGCAUGGUUCAAUAGUGAAAGACGGUUUUGCUGUCACUUAUAGAUGGACCCGCGCCGCAUUAGCUAGUUGGUAAGGUAACGGCUUACCAAGGCGACGAUGCGUAGCCGACCUGAGAGGGUGAUCGGCCACACUGGAACUGAGACACGGUCCAGACUCCUACGGGAGGCAGCAGUAGGGAAUCUUCCGCAAUGGGCGAAAGCCUGACGGAGCAACGCCGCGUGAGUGAUGAAGGUCUUCGGAUCGUAAAACUCUGUUAUUAGGGAAGAACAGACGUGUAAGUAACUCUGCACGUCUUGACGGUACCUAAUCAGAAAGCCACGGCUAACUACGUG
Molecule: ribosomal RNA, 497 nt
Filed under: uncultured bacterium
Lineage: Bacteria
Description: partial 16S ribosomal RNA
Rfam family: Bacterial small subunit ribosomal RNA
Source: RNAcentral